Molecule: long non-coding RNA, 1558 nt
Organism: Vulpes vulpes (red fox)
Lineage: Eukaryota; Metazoa; Chordata; Mammalia; Carnivora; Canidae
Source: Ensembl
CCAUCCACAGUGACUUUCUUCUAUUGGCUCAGGCAGUCAUGAACAAACAUGAUCUGAAGGGCCAACAGAGGAGCUCAGGUAAAUGUAAGGAUGUAGUUCGUGAUACCAGAGUUUUUAUGGAUGGUAAUACAGUGUGGGGUAGUUCUUUUCCCUGAAGAUUUCUUGCAGACAGCAAAUGUCAUCCACCUUAGAUGGAGUGGCUGGAGAUCAGAGGGAUGUAACUGGGCCUACCAAGGAUUGCCCAAGAUUGACAUCGAGUAGCUGCAUUGUGAUUGUGGUUCUCCAGCUUGUAGAUGAAGUCACCAAAAUGGUUGCCCUGCAUAUAAUUGAUACUCUGUUGAGUAUCAGUGCCCUUUGGACAGAUCAUCUCUGAAAAUACCAGACUAGAGCUCCUGCUCUGGCUACUCAUGUGUUGGUGUUGAUCACCCAUGGUUGCUCCCCUCUGGAACAUCAUCCAAAGCAAGCAGGUGACUCAAGGCUGGAGGAGUUAUAGAACGACCUCACAGAGCAUGCAGGACUACUCUUUCCUCACCUGCUCAGUCUACUCACUUGAGUCUGACUCACAGAGCCAGAAGGAUGGAAAAUCCUUCAUCAACUUUGACCUGGAAGUAAUAGAACCUAUACUGAACCUAAGCCUUCAAAAUGGGGAACAAUAAAGACAUUUGGAAGCUGUUAGACUGACCUCCUUCCUUUCUUGUCAAACCCUUCUCCUCAAGCCCCUCCUUGGAGGCCUAAGAAAAAGGAAAGCAAGCCCUGAUGGCAGGCAACUGGUCUGCCCAACAGCAGGUCUUGUCAUCUUCCUGUAGAACACCAAGAUUUCACAGAACAUAAACAUCAAGCAAAGCCAUUCUGUGAAUCUGAUGGAUCAAGAAAAAGAUAGAUAGGAUCUGUAAUUAUGUCUGAACCCGGAAAAAAAUGUGAACAUUGUCCUAACUGCCCUAACAGUUCCCUAUCUAAAUAAGGACUUUAUUAAGACAACCCAUCAUAGAAUUAAACCCAGUUCCUGAGCGCAUCCAAUUAGAGUAAAGCACCACCUUCUGAGCCCUCUGUAAUUAGCUAACACAAGGCCACAUCCUUUCCAGUAAGCCCUUUCUAAUCCUUCUAAUGCCUUCUUCCUGAACUGCCCACAGUUCUCCCUGGAGUGUGCUCUCUGCCUAAAAGACUAGUAAACCCAACUUGUUCAGCAACAAUCUGUCCCCAUGGUGUUCAGCCAGAGGGUUUGACAAGCCUUAUGGGUGUCACAUAUGUCUUCUCCACUCCUAGUAUUACUUGUCUUGGAUCAUCGAAGACUGGCUCCCCAGAACUAACUUUCUUGGUCCAGGCAGUCAUCGCCAGUUUUUACCAAGUACUUAAUACCUUCCAGGUACUUUAUGUGGAUUAACUCAUUUGAACUUCACAAUGACUCUAUGAAUUAACAGGCUUAGCAUCCCAUAUACAGAUGAGGAAACAGAGGUACAAAGUUUAUAGCAAUGCUAAAGUGGCUGAGCCAGGACUCCAAGGAGGUCAGUUGGCCCGGCUCUAGGGCUCCAAUGUCCAUACCACCCUGCCUCCCACUGCC